UCGUGAACCUUAUUCUUCUUCUCUUUCUCUUUCUCUGCUCUCACAAAUUUAGCAGUGUUUCCCCAAGAUUUUUAUCUAAAAUAUCAAAAUAGUCUCAAAUAUCACACACUUCGUACUUCCUCUUUUUCCUUCACCUCUAUGCUUCUUACUAUUUUUCUCUCAUUCUAAAUGUCUUUUCCUCCCUUCUCCUAUCCCCUAUUUAUAGGAGUGGGGAGCCACGAGUGAAAAGUUGCCACCAUUCUGUCUUACAAUUUCAUCUAAAAGUUGUCACAUUUCAUCAUAUCACUACACUUAAAAUAUAGGUACAUAAUCCAAGGAAAAAACAAUUAUGCAUUUACGUAAUGAUU
Molecule: long non-coding RNA, 347 nt
Filed under: Carica papaya (papaya)
Lineage: Eukaryota; Viridiplantae; Streptophyta; Magnoliopsida; Brassicales; Caricaceae
Description: long non-coding RNA (CPAP_LNC002832)
Source: RNAcentral